This 391-nucleotide ribosomal RNA is filed under the name uncultured bacterium. Its description in RNAcentral is "bacterial SSU rRNA". It matches the Rfam family "Bacterial small subunit ribosomal RNA", at positions 29 to 411 of the family's 1533-position model. The record is from RNAcentral.
AAUGAACGCUGGCGGCGCGCCUAAUACAUGCAAGUCGAGCGAGAAGACGUAGCAAUACGUUUGUAAAGCGGCGAACGGGUGAGGAAUACAUGGGUAACCUACCCUCGAGUGGGGAAUAACUAGCCGAAAGGUUAGCUAAUACCGCGUACGCUCCUUGGACUUCGGUUCAGGGAGGAAAGCGAUACCGUGGGUAUCGCGCUCUUGGUUGGGCUCAUGUCCUAUCAGCUUGUUGGUGAGGAACGGCUCACCAAGGCUUCGACGGGUAGCUGGUCUGAGAGGACGAUCAGCCACACUGGCACUGCGACACGGGCCAGACUCCUACGGGAGGCAGCAGUAAGGAAUAUUGCGCAAUGGGCGAAAGCCUGACGCAGCGACGCCGCGUGGGGGAGUG